Molecule: long non-coding RNA, 555 nt
Filed under: Mytilus galloprovincialis (Mediterranean mussel)
Lineage: Eukaryota; Metazoa; Mollusca; Bivalvia; Mytilida; Mytilidae
Source: RNAcentral
UGAACGAUGCCAUGUUGAAAUAUUGUGUUUUAAACUUUUGUUUCAUGAAUGAUUAAUAAGAUAUGAAUGUUUCUCAAUAUUAUAAUAUAUAAAAGUCAAAAAUUCAAUGUUUUAUAAAUCAUCGUCUUUACCUCUAUACAAGCUAUUGUAUAAGAGUUAUUUUUUGGUGGGUAACCAAAAAAUAACUCUUAUACAAGAGUGCACACGCUGAAAUGUCUCGCCUUUUCUAACCAUUAAUAUUAUGUUGAUAGUCCUAAAUAGAAAGCUUUACUUCAACUAUUAUAUAUCCUAGAAAAUGAGGUCAAGAUCAUAUAAACUAAACGAGAAAUACGCCUACACCUAACAAUCAUUCAAUACACUAAAUAUAGUUGACCUAUUGCUUAUAUUUUCUUAUAAACAGACUUAAUGAUGUUCGCUGCUCAGUUUCAAAAUAAAUAACUUUUCAUAAAACUAGUAUUUAUUGAUAGGGAAUAAAUUAAGGAAUAAAAAAAGCAAAAAAAAUAUAGGGGUCAAGGUGCUUGUUUUCGAGAUAUUAGCCAUUGGUGUUUUGGCGGG